Molecule: long non-coding RNA, 634 nt
Filed under: Gossypium barbadense (sea-island cotton)
Lineage: Eukaryota; Viridiplantae; Streptophyta; Magnoliopsida; Malvales; Malvaceae
Description: long non-coding RNA (GBAR_LNC018976)
Source: RNAcentral
GUGACGUCAUUACAUGGUUGGGCGUCCCGACGUGAAAGGUUGACUAUGCAAGAAGUGGCCAAGGUCUGAGGUCGCGUCAUGGAUAGAUUGGACAUCAUGACCUAGCUCACUAUUUUGAGUUGAGUAAUUGAAGGAGCUAGGUAACGUCGUGAUGUUGAAGAACCGAGGGCGUGGUAUGGAACAAUUCAGCAUUUGAAGGCAUCCAAGUCGGUGAGUGACACCAUGACGUUGAUUUGCUGGAAGUCGCGGUGUUUGCUUUUGAAGUCACAGUGUAGGAGCCUUGAUGCCAUGACGUGGGAGCUCUACACCUGGUCUAGGGAGAAGUAGGUUCGUGAGGCUACAUUGUCAAGUCUCAGAUCGAAGAUUCCUGAUGAUUAUAUAGGGGCAGUUUGUGGGAAAUUUGCCUUACAACCUUUAUAAAAUUAGAUUUUAAGUGAGGUUAUUUCGUCAUCAACCAAUCAUUAUAAAUGCUGAGGCAUCAGAAAAUUAGGAGAGAGAGCAUUUUUAGGAGAAUUACAAAGAUUGUUCAAUUUAUUUCUUUCAAUUUUCUAUUGAGUAUCUUAGUGUUCAACUUAGUUCUUGAUAUUGUUGGAGGAAUUUGUCCAUCUCUUUAUUGUGACAGACGGUGUAAGGU